This 421-nucleotide long non-coding RNA is filed under the name Monodelphis domestica (gray short-tailed opossum). RNAcentral's name for it is "lncRNA (ENSMODG00000049886.1)". The record is from RNAcentral. Lineage: Eukaryota; Metazoa; Chordata; Mammalia; Didelphimorphia; Didelphidae.
GCUCAGGGCGAUGCUCUCUUACUGUCCUUCUGUUCUGACAGAGCAUUGCUUCAUCUCAUCUUCUAUUGGUUCCACUGCUCCAGGAUUCAUUAUGAGGAAAUUGAUUGGGUUUCACUUGGAUGUCUACCUAUUAGAACCUUAUAAAAAUGAGAAACAUAUUUUAGUUAUUAUUCCAUGGGUUAAUUAUCAGGAUCACAUCUAGUUCAUCAAAUAGAAAGCUGCCAUAAUCUGUAAGCUUGGAUCUUCUCCUGAUGAGUCAGCUUAGACUGAGACUUUGGCUCUUGGACUGCUUCUAGGAGGACUGUUCCUGGACCUUCUUCUUUGGAGUCUGUCUUGAGUGAGUAACUGGUCUUCCUUUCCUGCCUUCUGGAGAGAUUAGAUCUGGAGAGACCUUCACCUCUUAGAGCAGGCUGCAUGAGUG